AAUAAUCUUGUUUUCCCUUUAAGUUUAUUUUCCUUAUUGUUUUAAGCAUAAACUCACUUUAUUUGAAUUUUUUUCAGUGAACAAGACAUCAUAUCGUAAGUCAUGUUGCUUCUCAAGUGAAUGCAUCUUGAUUUAAGAACUUUUUGAUAUUUUUAAUGGAAAACAACAAAAAUACUGAGUAAUAUUUUUGCAGUGCACAUUCUCAAUAGUUCAUGCCAGCUGUACCUCACUGUCCCGACGAGCUGGUCUCACACAAACACACUCGGGCCAGUGCACUUCCUGUGACCUCCAACAUCUGAAACAUAGUUUUCCGCCCAAAGGUUUGGAUAUAAUGUAAGAUACGUUUCAGUCGAGCCUCAGAGACCACCGACUGGUGGGGUGGGACGGGUUUUCACGGGGAAUCGUCAGCAUGCAUAUGUUUUAAACUGAUCAGUGAUGCAGUCGUGGUCUCGGGUGUCCGUACUUGUGUUCUCGUUCCUCAUCCAUCAGUCUGCCUGUGUUUCCUCCCACACGAGAGCCAUGUGUCUCUGCAAACUUCCACCGACCGAAUGAAUCGACACGAAGUCUGAUCCUGUGGAGAAUGACUGUAUGUUUAUCUUCAGCGGCGGGACACUUUAUGUUCAGGUCAUUUUAUAAUUAUUAAGACACAUUUAAGCAGGGAGUUUAAAAUCAAUGCACUUAAAAUUUAAUUAUGACAUACUGGAGAUCAGAUGAGAAUCUGUUUUUAGUGUGCUUUAAUUGUUUAUUUCGUAUCCCAUGAGCACUUGGUCUACUUUGCUGUAUUUUAAUGAUUUUGAUACUUAUUUGCUCUAUUUACUGCAGGAGAUUCACUGAAGUUUUAUUUCAUAUUAAAAGGCCAGAAACACACUCUACGCAAGUAUGUUUUCUGACUACUUGACAUCUAUCUCUGAAAUGUGUCUUGAGAAAUUAGGCCUGUCUCUGUGACAAAACCAGAGUCUGCAGACAGUAAGAUUCUGAUUAAGAAGUGAUUUUGCAUGUUCAGGUUUACUGACAUUGUUCUGGAGGACAGUCCAGUGAAAGUGAAGUUAGCACAAUUUUGUCAUUAGCAAAAUGCCUAAAUUCACUUAAAGUUGCAGUUCUUAAGGGGGCGAUAGAGUUUCCUUCACUGCAAGAAAAAAAGUUUUUACUUGUUUUCCAGUACAAAUAUCAAAAAAUAAUUAAAUCAAUAUAUAUUUAAUUAGGUUCAUGCUUAUAAUUAAGUGAGUUUAUGCUUGAAACAAGAAAAAAAAUGUCAGUAGAGUAAAACAAUCUCAAUUCAAAGGGAAAACUUUUUUUUUUACCCCUCUAAUUGAUAUUUUUACUUGUUUUUAAGCAUAAAAUCACUUUAUUUUGAUUCAUGUUUCAGCAAACAAUACUUAAUAUCUUGUGUAUUUUUUAAGCAAAUGUAUCUUGAUUUAAGAAUGCCUAAAUAUUUGUACUGCUGGGAAAAAAAUUGCAGUGUUUAUAUCAGCGAUUCUCACCCUAAAAUUUCCCCCAAUAUAAGAUGUUUCUUCCUGUAUAUUCAUUUUUCUUGUUUAUCUUGUUUUUACUCUUGUGCCAUUUAAUCAGACACAAUAUUAAGGUUGUUAGCUAUAAAUGACUAACUAAGCUUAGCUAAAUUUAGUUGAACUAACUUGCUGAUUUCUGUCAUAACUGACCCGUCUGUAUUUUGCAUGUGUACUGCGUUCUGACACUUUUCUCUCGUGUCGAUGGAAACACAUACUUGCGUAGAGUCUGUUUCAGGUCCAGCACUGAAUAACACUAAAUCAGAAGCAGAUGUUCGUUCGCAAAACGCAAUAGAAAUCCGAAAGCAAAACAAACACUGUUUUUCUUGUGCAACCCUCUCACGAAGCGUUGAAAUCACAGAGUGCGUCAAAGCUCUGCUGAAAAGAUGUGUUCGAUCAGUCCAGAUGUGUUGUUGCUGCUGUCGAUCGAUUGAAAUGCUGUUUUUUUAAUUCAUGACUGUAUCAUGUUUUAUACUGGACCCUUGCAGCUCCUCAGUACCACACCAGAAAAAUACACGCAGCACUUAGAAAAUCGUGAAUUCUUCUGCAUUUGUCUUUGCCUUCGUGUCUCGUUGAGGUUGUUAGAAAACACUUGCACAUGUCUUAAGAGUACUGAGGAUCGGAUCUUAAAGCAUAUGUAAAUAUAUGUAUAAAUAUUACACAUUUACUGAAAGGGAUAUAUCUUAGGUCCUUGACACUAGCGUGCUGAUGAUAUUUAAUAGAGUGUACAGUUAUAUUAACCAAACACAUAGAGCCAGAGGGGGUCUGGCAAGCUUGCCCAUGUUCUAGAAACUUCUCUCAGGGUAGACUUGCUUCUCUAAGCUUUACAAAACCUGUCAGGUCACAGCACUGGUCAGCGUUUACUGUUCCUAACCGCCGUUUGCUUUUCUCUCAGUGUUCUCGACGAAGUGUAAAUCUGUCGGAUGGUGCGGUUUGUAUAUCUGAUCAAUUGGAAAUAAGAAUCUCAUGUACUAGAAUUCAUACUCUUGUGAUGAUUAGUAAGCAACAAAAGGUCCAGAAUAUCUGAAGGCAUCUCAUCUGAACGCUUGUGACUGACGCCGUCAGAAGCCUGUACUGCUGAUUCAAGUGAAACACCGACCACUACUUGUUUUUUUAUCUCCUAUGUUACUGUUCAUGUAAUAAAAAUCUCUGAUGACAACAGAUUUUUAGCCAUUCUAAACUGCUUUCGUUUACUGUAUGCUUCCUUUUUAACGUUGGAGUUUUGCAUGUCUUUUUUAUUUUUUAUUUGUGAGGACUGAGAAUGUUUGCGUUUCUUGUAUUUUUGUUCAAGAAAUUAACACAGUUUCACUUCCUGAAGGUUUUAAUGGAGGAUGCUGUGUAUUUUCCACAAAUAUGGUACACUUUGACUUUUCUUAGAGGUGCAAAUGCAUAGUUUUGUGCGAGAAUUAUUAUGUGAGAAAUCAUCUCAUAGAAAAUUAGAUCGUUAAAACAUUUCAAAUCACCUCAGAGAUCCUGACAUUCAAACUCAUGCAAAAUGUCAAAAAUGACUGAUGCAAGUUUACUAUUGACAUCUGUUGGACUGAAAAACUCAUUUUAAUAACUAAAAAUAAUCUUUGCUGUUUCCCACCCAUUACCAAAUUAUUUUCCCUAUUAAAAAAAAAAAAUUGUUUCAUUUUUUUAUUUUAUUUUUUAGCUAUUUUGUUGUGCAUUUUUUUGGCUUUUUUUUUUUUUUUUUGUUUUUUGCCUGUAUAGGUGUUUAUUCCAGUUUUAGUUUAUUUUAGUACAUCAAGUUGAACUAAAUUAAAUUAGGUUUCUGCCACUUGAGAAGGUUUUUUUUUCAGUUAGUUUUUAUUUUAUUUCAAAUAAUGAAUUUUGUUUUUAAAUGCAUUAAGUUUUAGAUUAACUUUAAUAACACUGGCCCCAGAAAACACUUACGUAUAAAAUAAAUGACCUCCUGAAGAUGAUUAUCAACAUUUUGUAAAGGUGAAGCGCCUCCUUUCACAAACCACUUGCUGAAAAGGAAAAAAGCUUGAUUUCCUCCAGCGUUUCAGGCUGUUUUGUACCUUAUUUGUGGAAAGUGGCAUUCCAGUCUAAUAAAAUUAAAUGUCAUAAGUAACUCGGCCAAAACGAGAUCACUUUAAUGUCUCUGGUGCUUGAGUGUGUUUGUAUUUGAAUUAUCCCAGAGCCCUCAGAAACACUGGCUUUUUUGUUUAUUGGAAUAUUAGUAAUUUAACAGCCUCACUGAAGAAUUAAAAAACUGUCAGACUUGAAAACUUAAUUGUCGGUUUUGCUUAUGAUUUAGUGUGUGUGUUUGUGUUUGGAGUGUGUGUAAAUGAGGCUCUGUGAUGAUUACAAGACUGGAAUUUAAUACAAGCAGGAGGCAAAACUCUUUGGUUGUUCCUCUUUUGCGCUGAAGUCUGGGUAGGUAAUUUUUUUCUGUAACGUUCUGGUGUGUUUGCGCACAUUUCCCAUGACCUUGUGGCAGAGCACUUAAAGCUUUGGUUGUUAAAGAGAGGACAAAUAAAUGUCAAACGUCAUGUGUCUUUUAAUCACAUACAGUAUGUACCGAGUCAUUACCGAAUACAGUACAUCAUUGUAUAAA
Cyprinus carpio carpio is the source of this 4068-nucleotide long non-coding RNA. The record is from Ensembl. Lineage: Eukaryota; Metazoa; Chordata; Actinopteri; Cypriniformes; Cyprinidae.